This 253-nucleotide ribosomal RNA is filed under the name uncultured bacterium. Its description in RNAcentral is "partial 16S ribosomal RNA". It matches the Rfam family "Bacterial small subunit ribosomal RNA", at positions 524 to 776 of the family's 1533-position model. The record is from RNAcentral.
UACGUAGGGGGCAAGCGUUGUCCGGAAUCAUUGGGCGUAAAGAGCGCGUAGGCGGCCCUGUAAGUCCGCUGUGAAAGUCAAGGGCUCAACCCUUGGAUGCCGGUGGAUACUGCAGGGCUAGAGUCCGGAAGAGGCGAGUGGAAUUCCUGGUGUAGCGGUGAAAUGCGCAGAUACCAGGAGGAACACCGAUGGCGAAAGCAGCUCUCUGGGACGGUACUGACGCUGAGACGCGAAAGCGUGGGGAGCGAACAGG